Molecule: ribosomal RNA, 670 nt
Filed under: uncultured delta proteobacterium
Lineage: Bacteria; Deltaproteobacteria
Description: bacterial SSU rRNA
Rfam family: Bacterial small subunit ribosomal RNA
Source: RNAcentral
GGGUGAGUAACGCGUAGGUAACCUACCCUUGUAUCGGGAAUAACCCCGCGAAAGCGGUGCUAAUACCGGAUACGAUCCCGGGGCGGGAGUUUCGGGAUGAAAGUCGGCCUCUCGCAGAAGCUGACGUACGAGGAUGGGCCUGCGUCCUAUCAGCUGGUUGGUGGGGUAGCGGCCUACCAAGGCGACGACGGGUAGCUGGUCUGAGAGGAUGAUCAGCCACACUGGCACUGGAACACGGGCCAGACUCCUACGGGAGGCAGCAGUGAGGAAUUUUGCGCAAUGGCCGCAAGGCUGACGCAGCAACGCCGCGUGGGUGAAGAAGGCCUUCGGGUCGUAAAGCCCUGUCAGGUGGGAAGAAAGGUCAUGAGUGAACGCUUGUGAUUUGACGGUACCACCAGAGGAAGCACCGGCUAACUCCGUGCCAGCAGCCGCGGUAAUACGGAGGGUGCAAGCGUUAUUCGGAAUUACUGGGCGUAAAGCGCGUGUAGGCGGGGGUACAAGUCUGAUGUGAAAGCCCCGGGCUUAACCUGGGAAGUGCAUUGGAAACGGUAUCUCUUGAGUACUGGAGAGGAAGGGGGAAUUCCCGGUGUAGAGGUGAAAUUCGUAGAGAUCGGGAGGAAUACCAGUGGCGUAGGCGCCUUUCUGGACGGUUACUGACGCUGAGACGCGA